RNAcentral lists this ribosomal RNA (495 nucleotides) under uncultured bacterium. Its description in RNAcentral is "bacterial SSU rRNA". It matches the Rfam family "Bacterial small subunit ribosomal RNA", at positions 28 to 521 of the family's 1533-position model. The record is from RNAcentral.
GAUGAACGCUGGCGGCGUGGAUUAGGCAUGCAAGUCGAACGGUAUCAUCCUUUCGGGGGUGAGAGAGUGGCGAACUGGUGAGUAACACGUAGGUUAUCUACCCUCAAGACGGGGACAACCCAGGGAAACUUGGGCUAAUACCGGAUGUGAGCAACUUUUAGUUGUUUGAAAGGUGGCGUAAGCUGCCGUUUGGGGAUGAGCCUGCGCUCUAUUAGUUAGUUGGCGGGGUAAAGGCCCACCAAGGCGAUGAUAGAUAGGCGGCCUUAACGGGUGGUCGCCCACACUGGGAUUGAGAUACGGCCCAGACUCCUACGGGAGGCAGCAGUCGAGAAUAGUCUACAAUGGCCGAAAGGCUGAUAGUGCGACGCCGCGUGAACGAGAAGCCCUUCGGGUGUAAGUCUUUAUAUGUGAGCAGUGCUUUCUAUGUGAACAGCAUGGGAGAGAGAUAUUAGCAUAUGAAUAAGCAACGGCUAACUCCGUGCCAGCAGCCGCGGU